CUGAAACACGCGAGAGAGAUACUUCUCCCUGUUCGGCGCACUCAGUAAUAUACUGACUGCUGCUGUGGAAACAUCUAACUUGCGUACUCUCGUGUUUUUCUCAGAGAGAGAAACUUCCGCUAAGGCUCUACCACGUGACUGUGUUUCACCAAUCAAACGUAGUUGUGCAGUCUCGUCACGUUACCAUACUCAAUCUCAGCGGUGGGACGCGUUAGUUAGCAACACAAACAUGUCAGAAUCAACCAUCGGCAAUGCAGACACAAACGAGGAGGAAAACCCGCACCCCUGGCCUCAUAUUGAAAGCAUGUUUACCUAUUAGUAAAAGUGCGAGAGAGCAGCUACAUUAUGAGGUGUCUUCUGUGUCUGCCAAAGCAAACGGACAUUUGAGCAUUCAAAAACUCAACAUCUAACUUGAGGAAACAUGUAGCGUUUAUUCUCUGAUCCACAGUGCACACUGCCUGUGUAUCAUCUGCUGCCGGCACAGAUAUCCCCUAGGUCUGAGGCUGGUAACAUAUGCCAGAGUUAUCUACUUCUGUUGUUUCUACAACAUGUAAUAUUCAAUACAAGCCUGUACAACCUGAGUCUGGUGAUUGUAAUGACGAUGUUCAACCAAAUGACAGUGUUUCGAAUACAAGCAAAAAAGGCUCCUCUGGAGUAAUGUCCCAUGGAUCACGAUCCAGCCACUCUUCUGUGUCAUCUACACGUCUUAAGACUGAAGCAAAAUUGGCUGCAUUAUUGACCGCUCAACAAAUGUUACAAAGGAAACAUACAUUGGAGGAGCAAGAAGAGAAACUGAGGAAAACUAGAGAAAAAACUGGAGUUGGAAACCAAACUGGUUGAGUCAAUGGCUAGAGUAAAGGUGUAUCAAAAUGCAAAACUGGGAUCAUAUACCUCUGCUAACAGAACUAAAUCCGGUUCUUAUCAUAUUGAUGUGGAAGCACUGAUUCCUUCAGAGACUGAGCCAGUUUUAUCACAACUCUGCUUAUGGAACAUCUCAAGCUCAUGCUGCACAAGGGAUUUCAACUCAUGCUCAAACUCAAGUACAACAACCAUCAACCAGACCAAAAAUACAACAUUCUCAAAUUCCAGCAUCUAGCAUGUCAUUACUGGACUAUCGGAAUAAUGGAAAUUGAACUGGUAAUGCAACAAGUCCUCUAAAUGACCUCAGUUACAUGAACAUCUUACAGCUUAUUGAUAAGCAAAAUGAAAUAACUACCUUAUUGGUUAAACAGAAUAACUUAUCUUCACUUCCACCUAGAGAAAUACCCUACUAUGAUGGAGAUCCAUUACGCUUUCAUGAAUUCCUAUACUCAUUUGAGGAAGUGGUGGAAAAAAGGGGAAGAUAGCCCAGGUGAUUGCUUACAUUUUUUGGAGCAGUAUACAAGAUGACAGCCCAAAGAAAUUGUUCAAAGUUGCCAACACAUGACUCCAUUACAAGGCUAUUUAAAGGCAAAAACUUUACUCAAGAAGAAUUUUGGAGAUGAGGUGAAAAUAGCUGCUUCUUACAUGAACAAAGCUCUUUCAUGGAAAGCUAUGAAAUUUAAAAAUGCAAAGGCUCUGCAAGAAUAUUCUCUUUUUUUAAGGAGUUGCAGCAACGCUAUGCAAAGUAUGAAUUACAUGAAUGAGUAACCUCACUUCCAACAUGCAGAUCAUUCUCUCAAAACUUCCAUACAAGUACAGAGAUGAAUGGAGAGUUGUGGCAUACAAGUUAAAGGAACGAAACAACAGUCAGACUACCUUUGUGGAUAUUGUCAAUUCUAUUGAGAAACAAGUGAAAAUCCUUUCAAAUCCUGUGUUUGGUAAUAUACAGGACACCCCUCCACAGGAACUAACAAAGUAAAUGCAAGAAUGAUUCAGUAAAAAUCCAGAAGUAGUUUUGCUUUUACUAUUUGUAAUCUUAUUCAUACAGAUCUUCUUCAUAUAUUCCCACGUGAAAGGUCAGAUACUCUGCAUAAGCAAUCUGAAUUCAAAACGGCCAUUGGUUUGAUGAUUUCCCUACAGUCCAAUGCUCAUACUGGGGCUGGUAAAGACAGCUGUGCAUUGUCUAUUAUUCCUGUGUGUGUCAAGUCAAAAAAAGGGAAAUAAUAUUGUGAAAAUGUAUGCAUUUCUGGAUUCAGGCAGCUCUGCUUCCUUUUGUACGGAAAGUUUAAUGAAUACGCUCAAUCUUCCUGGGGAAAAAGAGUGAAUAUUCUUCUCAGAACCAUAAGUCAAGACAAAUCAGUUAGCAGUUAUGUCCUGAAUAAUUUGGAAGUGUCUGGAUUGAAUCAGGAACAUUAUUGCUUAUUACCUGAAGUAUAUACUCAAGAUGCUAUGCCUGUAUCCACAGCUAAUAUAGCCUCACAGAAUGAUCUUCAGUCUUGGCCACAUUUGUGUCACCUCAACUUACCAGGAUGUUGAACUGUUGAUUGGAGCCAAUGUUCCACAGGCAUUAGAACCUUGGCAGAUCAGACGAAGUCAGAAUAAAGGUCCCUAUGCAAUAAAAACUAUGUUUGGCUGGGCGGUUAAUGGAAUACUUAAAGGAAAGGUUACAAAUGAGGAUGUUGUGGAUCGAUCUCCUGUAAUGGUGAAUAGGAUUUCGGUACUGGAGAAGAACUGUGUACUGGUUGGAAGAACUGUGGAAGCAACAGUUUAAAGCGGAUUUUCCUGAGACUGCUCAUGAUGAACAGAUUGGAUUAUCGAGGGAAGAUCAACAACUUAUGGAUUUUGUGUCCCGUUCAGCAAAACUCAUUGAUGGUCAUUCUCAUAUUGGACUGCCAUUUAGAAACACUGAUGUAAUUAUGCCAAUGAAUCGUAAAAUUGUGGAGCAGCGUGCUGUACAUCUGCAAAGAAGGUUCAAUGUGAAUCCUACGUUUGCAUGUUCUCCUCGUGCCUCGGGGGUUUCCUCCGGGUACUCCGGUUUCCUCCCCCGGUCCAAAGACAUGGAUGGUAGGUUGAUUGGCAUCUCUGGAAAAAUUGUCCGUAGUGUGUGAUUGCGUGAGUGAAUGAGAGAGUGUGUGUGUGCCCUGCGAUGUGUUGGCACACCGUACAGGGUGUAUCCUGCCUUGAUGCCCUGAUGACGCCUGAGAUCCCCGUGACUCGAGGUAGUUCGGAUAAGCGGUAGAAAAUGAAUGAACGUAACUGUUUUACUUGCACUUCCUCACCACCAGAGGGAGACAGAGCUAUAUCACUUUCGUGUCACAGUGUCACUUCUGGUGCUUGUGGACAUAUAAAUCCUGCUCACGCUAGUUUACAUCGUGAAGUAUUAUAUAUUGUCUAGUAUUUUACUGCUGUACUGAGCUGUUGUUUGUUCUUCUCGUGUUUAAUACAGUGUUCUGUUUUCCUGUUUUUUGCUCUUUGUGUUUAGUGAUUUCAGAUUUGUUCACCCCUCUGUUUGACUCUCUGUUUAUUUGGAUUAUUGUCUGUUUUCCAGUUUUGUC
This is a long non-coding RNA of Tachysurus vachellii, 3416 nucleotides long. RefSeq lists it as uncharacterized. The record is from RefSeq and is a predicted model, not a curated record. Lineage: Eukaryota; Metazoa; Chordata; Actinopteri; Siluriformes; Bagridae. The transcript is spliced from 3 exons.